UCUUCUUUGUCUCUCCCUCCCUCCGUGCCUUGCCUCCCACUAUCAUCAUGGAUGGCACAUUGAUAUGCGUAAGCAAGUUACAUUUCACUGGCCUGUUGUAAAGGCUUCUUGCCUAUACUACUGAAUUUCAAAAUUAUCUAUGCACAUACCUAGAAGGGAAGGUAGACAUCAAUAGAUUUCUGUUGGUAAAGUUUCAACCCGCUCUCAUGCUACUUUGCUUUAUAUUAUGCUUGCCAUAUUAUUGUUUAUCGCUGAGCAACUGACGAUUGGACUGAAAGCAGCGCAAUUCUGGGUAACUUUGACCAAGAUAAUGUAUUUUGUUGCAUAAUGUUGGGUUUAAAUACCCUUGCCAGAGAAGUGUAAUGGAGUUCAUCCUUCAAUCAUGAGAUGUGCUGCUGCAUACUUGUUGAGAGUUGCUGCAGUGUACAUACAAUGGAUAACGAAUUAUUAUGAAGAAUUCUCAUAUUGUGUAUAUGAAUCUAGAUCAACCAUCUAUCUCCAAUACCAUGCACCAAUGCUUGGAAUUCACUCAAGUGUCAUACUCGCACUACCAAAUCAGGCUACGAAGACAAGUCUUCGUGCGCACAUAUGACCAUCCCAGUGUUUGGGGUUUACAUACUUGAUUUCUUCUUUUGGUUUAGUGAGGUCUUCAAAAUUGGACAAGAAAUUGAUAGAACCUGAAUUAGGUUCCCGAUCUUUGAAGCAUGUUCACAAGGCCGUGCAAACCUUCUCCUGAAGGUAUACAUUAUAAAAAUAAGGCAUGUGUGUGUGACGGUUCAUUUUGCUUCUAAUAGACACUAUGGCAAACCUUUCUUCUCUUAUCCGUUUCUUAUUACGUGGGGCCCAUUUUGAAUUUUCUUAUUACCCUAAGACAAAGGACAAAUGCAAAACAUGUCAAAUAAUGGCGCGGGAGGGAGCCUUCAGAAGAAAAUAGAUUACUGAAACAGAUAACAGAUAACCGAUAUACACUAUGGCAAUGACGGCAGGAGGUGGUGAUUUAGUUCUGCUUAUUUGUUAGGUACGCCAUUCCAUAGAAAAAUCUUGGACUGAAUUGUCGUAUAUUUCUCUUCUCAUGUCAUUUUUGUUUAGCAGAUGAUAUAUUGUUAAUUGCUCCAUGACUAUUUGGAUCACUGAAAUGGCUACUUACUUCAUCAAUAUGAUUUAUUUGUUGGUCUCAUAUAAUCCCCUUCUCUGUUUCAGCUUUCUUUGGGAGGGAGGGCCUGGUGGAUGUGUGAUCUUUUUGCCGAUGUAGGCUGAGGUU
Molecule: long non-coding RNA, 1261 nt
Organism: Triticum dicoccoides
Lineage: Eukaryota; Viridiplantae; Streptophyta; Magnoliopsida; Poales; Poaceae
Exons: 3
Source: RefSeq, a predicted model, not a curated record